RNA transcript from Vigna radiata var. radiata (mung bean), 3263 nucleotides. It is a transcript of the gene named hydroxymethylglutaryl-CoA lyase, mitochondrial, with no coding region annotated. The record is from RefSeq and is a predicted model, not a curated record. The transcript has 10 exons. NCBI's taxonomy places the organism in Eukaryota, Viridiplantae, Streptophyta, Magnoliopsida, Fabales, Fabaceae.
UGUUUAGUUUCCUUUUGCAAUAAUCCAACAAUUUUCUCAUAGCCAACUUCCUUCCUCUAAGCAUCUGCAAGUCUUUAUUUUUCCAUGGCUAUGCAUAAGAUCCUGCAAAGGGGUCGUCCAUUCUUCAAUUCUCCUCUGAAACUUGCCUCUUCACCUUCUUCAGCUUCUCACACAUUUCCCUCUUCUGGUCAUGAAUCUCUUCAUGUUCGGGAAAUCACAAACACAAGAGAAGUUAGGAAUGAAUUUGGCAAAUACCAUAUAAAAGAUUUAUCUCAAUGCCUCAACUGGACUUCAAGGCCACAUUACUGUAGUCAUGGCUAUGUGGUAAAUCGUCAUUUUGCAUCUGAUCACAAUGAUAUAUGUACAAAGGGGUUCUCAAGUAAGCUUCUUAAAACUAUUCCAUACCAUGUAAAGAUAGUGGAGGUUGGUGCAAGGGAUGGAUUGCAAAACGAGAAGGCUAUUAUUCCUACUAAUAUAAAAGUUGAGUUAAUACAACUACUGGUUUCUUCUGGGUUGUCUGUUGUUGAGGCAACAAGUUUUGUCUCACCAAAAUGGGUACCCCAGUUGGCAGAUGCAAAGGAUGUGUUGGCAGCAAUUCAAAACGUUGAAGGUGCUAGGUUUCCUGUCUUGACUCCCAACAUUAAAGGUUUUGAGGCAGCUGUUGCUGCUGGAGCUAAAGAAGUGGCUGUUUUUCCUGCAGCUUCUGAAUCAUUCUCAAAAGCAAAUCUAAAUUGUGGCAUUGAAGAUAAUCUUGCCCGUUGUCGUGAUAUUGCUUCAGCUGCUGGAAGUCUCUCGAUCCCAGUUCGCGGAUAUAUAUCAUGUGUUGUGGGAUGUCCCCUGGAAGGAAGUAUUGCCCCAGAGAAAGUAGCAUAUGUGGCAAAAUCACUGUAUGAGAUGGGUUGCGCAGAGAUUUCGCUGGGUGAUACAAUUGGUGUUGGCACACCUGGUACUGUAGUUCCGAUGCUUGAAGCUGUACUUGACGUUGUUCCAACUGACAUGGUUGCUGUCCAUUUUCACGAUACUUACGGUCAGGCACUUUCAAAUAUUUUAAUUUCACUUCAGAUGGGUAUCAGCACAGUGGAUUCAUCUGUUGCUGGUCUUGGAGGUUGUCCAUAUGCCAAGGGUGCAACUGGGAAUGUAGCCACUGAGGAUGUCGUUUACAUGCUGAAUGGACUUGGAGUGAAAACAAAUGUGGACCUUGGAAGGCUUAUGCUAGCUGGGGAUUUCAUUUGCAAACAUUUAGGACGUGCAUCUGGUUCCAAAGCAGCUACUGCUUUGAGUAAAGUUACUAGUCAUGCCUCCAAACUAUGAGUAACUAAAGCUAGUCAUGCACCUGCAUGAUAGGUACAUUGUUUGCCCACUGUUGCGUAUGCAUUAUGUUGGUGUUUCCUGUCCAGUGGGCCCUGCCAUUAGAAAGAGAGAGCCAGCAAAACACAAAUAUAUGCAAAACAUAUUGAAAUGUUUGAUAUCUUAUAAUGAGUUGAAGUGAACUUCAUACUAUCCAAUUCACCACAUGAGACUACAUCAAGUGCAUGUUCCAAAUUUUGGCUGUUGGUGAUGGCAUGUGGAAGCAAAGAAUUAUCAGUAUCCUGUGUUACUGUGACACUAAAUGAACUUUAUGGUGGUGUGCUACGUACCAAACCAGCUCUAGAACUAUACACAUUCUGCUAAUGCAGAAUUAAGAGAAAUGCUCAUUAAAUUAAUUUUACCCAGUGAAGACAAAAAAACGCAAGGAAAUGGGCAUUUUAGCAAAGAGGGUCAAGUUUAAAAUAGUUGAACUCAUGAACAAUGGUUAAAAGAAGGUUGCAUUUUUCACAUAAGAUGAACAUAUAAACUGAUGAGUAGUUGUAAAACAGAAAUCCUUUUAAGCAAAAAACAAAAAAGGGGUUUCAUUGCAAUGUAAUAAAUGUACGUACAUAAAGCUAUAUCACAAUAUUCAUUACUGAAUAAUGUAUUAUUAUGGUGAUUUUACAUGCGGGCUAGCCAUACACACUUUCUUCUGUGAGCCAGCAAGAACUUAGCUAAAUAGAGAAAACCUGAUGAUGUCUGUAAGAAUCCUGGAAGCAUGCAAACAAACACAUCCAUCAUCAUGGCAUUACCUUACCUUACCUAACCAAUAUUCGCUCCAUCGCACCAACAACAAGCACAAAAAAAAAAAUAAAAAUAAUAGUUUUCAUAUAUCUGAAAACAUAUCAUCAUCAUCAACAACAUCAUCACCAUCAUCUUCAUCAUCAUAUAUACCAUUUCUCUUCAAAAAUAGUUUUAACUAUAUGUUCUCUUAUCAUGAACAAUAUAAUCUCAAACCUAAGAAUUUUCAUAUACAUCUGUGAACUUACCGAGGGGAAAAGGAAAAACACUUAUAAAGCACAAAAAAUGCUUUGAAAAUGUAGUAAUAAUAUUAAGAAAGAAAAAAAGAGGAAGACAAAAUUAAGAAAUAGGAUUUGACGACUGGAAACAUUGAGGAUGUCUCUUCAGGUAACUUAUCUGUUGUGUAGAGGAUUAGGACCUGUGUACACUUUCCUUUUGUCUGCACCAAAAACUUGGUCUCCCUCUUUGUGUGCACCGUUUCCUUGAAGGUCUGCUGCACCAGGGAAGUUAAAGGGUUUGAACUCAGAAGCAGAAGAAGCACCUUUGAAUCUCUGAAAUCUGGCUUUCCCUGCUGCUGCGUGACAUGGGGUGGUCCUCAAGAGUAAGAGCAGAAGAAGAAGAAGCAGAAAGAGGAUAAGAAAGCUCAUCUUUUGGUUCUUGCUCUUCACACAAAUCAUUGCAUAGGGAAAUAUGGCACUACCCUGGUUGUUUUUGGUCUCCUAUUUUAUGUGGGUGUGUGGUUGAGAGAUGAAAAACCCUUUUGGUUUUGGUUAUGUUAUCAAGAAAAAGAAGCUUUUUGGUGGGGAUUUAUCUUUUGUAUAGGAGCCUAGAAGUUUGAAGAGUAGGAAAGUCAAUGCAAGGAGAGAGCCAACAUGCAUAGAACUUGCUGCCAAGUCUCUUAGUAUAUAGAAAAUGUCUGGUACAAAUUUCAGAGCCAAGUUUUUUCUGUUUUUGUUUUUGUUUUUGCUGAGAAAGAAAGAAAGGCAAAGACAAACACCACACAGCUCAGUGAGAGAGAAAGAGAGAGAAAUUUUGUUGGUGUUUGAGUCGGAGAAAGUGGGAAUGAAUGAACUACAGAAGAAGGACGGAGAGUUUCUUAAACUCACUCUCAUGUCAGAUUAAUCAUUUUCUUAAUCUACUUUUUCAACAUAAAUAAACAUAUUCUUUCAACCACA